RNAcentral lists this small RNA (91 nucleotides) under Caenorhabditis elegans. RNAcentral describes it as "Unclassified non-coding RNA F13A7.17". Lineage: Eukaryota; Metazoa; Nematoda; Chromadorea; Rhabditida; Rhabditidae. The record is from RNAcentral.
GAUCCUUGAGCAGUCACACCUUGAGCCACGGAACCAGUGCCUGCAGUGCCUCCACCACGUCCUCCCUGAGUCACAGAUAUCUGAGAGACGG